Molecule: long non-coding RNA, 670 nt
Filed under: Nicotiana benthamiana
Lineage: Eukaryota; Viridiplantae; Streptophyta; Magnoliopsida; Solanales; Solanaceae
Description: long non-coding RNA (NBEN_LNC015939)
Source: RNAcentral
CUUGGAGAGAUUUUAGUUGCGUGAACGAAGAGAAGACAAUCAGAACCUAGAACGCAGCCAAAGAGUUAAACAAAAAUUUUACAAAUAGAAUUCAACACACACACAACAGCUUCCAACACCCUUGGACAUGUCAUUUCCAAACACAACAUAUAUCAAAGUACUCAUUUAAUUCAAACAAGAUAAUACCCAUGUUUAAUUCAUACUCAAGAAGUAGAAGAAAACUAGAAUAAGUGUGAACAUGGUAAGCCAAAAUCUUUUCAAUAGCGAAGAAAAAUCCAGAGCUACAACAACACUUGAGAGUGGAGAAACAAGCAAAAUUCGCCUAAAUAGAGCGUAAAAAUGUGAAACUGGAGCCCAGCUACUUUGCAACAGCAACAACAAUGCGCUUCAACUUUAGGCGACCGCUCCUCUCUCGUUUUCAGUGAGUUCUCCAGCGGUGGAGUAUUUGGGGCUGGCUUAUGGCCAGCUUUCAUGGUGAUUGGUGAAGAAGAUGAAAGCAGGAAGGGGAACGGGAGGCGAUGCUCGUUCUCUUUGGUUUCUUUCAAGGGGAGCCUCACUAUUUUGUGUUGAAGGAGGAGGAAUGCAUCGUUUCUCUAAUCUAAAGGGGAAGGGUUUUUCUAUUAUCUUUUCUAAAGGGAGGGAAUCCUUCACAUGUGUUAGGUGUCUUAGG